This 180-nucleotide small nuclear RNA is filed under the name Gopherus agassizii (Agassiz's desert tortoise). RNAcentral's name for it is "U2 spliceosomal RNA (ENSGAGG00000009499.1)". It matches the Rfam family "U2 spliceosomal RNA". From Rfam's summary of the family: U2 is a small nuclear RNA (snRNA) component of the spliceosome (involved in pre-mRNA splicing). Complementary binding between U2 snRNA (in an area lying towards the 5' end but 3' to hairpin I) and the branchpoint sequence (BPS) of the intron results the bulging out of an unpaired adenosine, on the BPS, which initiates a nucleophilic attack at the intronic 5' splice site, thus starting the first of two transesterification reactions that mediate splicing. Lineage: Eukaryota; Metazoa; Chordata; Testudines; Testudinidae. The record is from Rfam by way of RNAcentral.
AUAGAAUUUGAACAUUUGCUUCCAUAAAUGCUCUGACCAGUUUAAUAUGUGACACGUUCUCUAUCUAAGAACUCCCUAUUCAAUGGAUUUUUGGAGCAGGGAGACGGAAUAGGAGCUUGCUCUGUCCACUCCACGCACCCCCCCCGGCAUUGCAGUGCUUCUAGGAAUGGUGCACCUCCC